Molecule: ribosomal RNA, 496 nt
Filed under: uncultured bacterium
Lineage: Bacteria
Description: partial 16S ribosomal RNA
Rfam family: Bacterial small subunit ribosomal RNA
Source: RNAcentral
AUGCACGCUGGCGGCGUGCCUCAUCCAUGCAAGUCGAGCGAACAGAUGAGGAGCUUGCUCCUCUGACGUUAGCGGCGGACGGGUGAGUAACACGUGGAUAACCUACCUAUAAGACUGGGAUAACUUCGGGAAACCGGAGCUAAUACCGGAUAAUAUAUUGAACCGCAUGGUUCAAUAGUGAAAGACGGUUUUGCUGUCACUUAUAGAUGAAUCCGCGCCGCAUUAGCUAGUUGGUAAGGUAACGGCUUACCAAGGCGACGAUGCGUAGCCGACCUGAGAGGGUGAUCGGCCACACUGGAACUGAGACACGGUCCAGACUCCUACGGGAGGCAGCAGUAGGGAAUCUUCCGCAAUGGGCGAAAGCCUGACGGAGCAACGCCGCGUGAGUGAUGAAGGUCUUCGGAUCGUAAAACUCUGUUAUUAGGGAAGAACAAAUGUGUAAGUAACUAUGCACGUCUUGACGGUACCUAAUCAGAAAGCCACGGCUAACUACGUG